GAUGAAGAACGCAGCGAAAUGCGAUAAGUAAUGUGAAUUGCAGAAUUCAGUGAAUCAUCGAAUCUUUGAACGCACCUUGCGCCCUUUGGCCAUUCCGAAGGGCAUGCCUGUUUGAGUAUCAUGAACACCUCAACUCUUUAUGGUUUUCCAUGAUGAGCUUGGACUUUGGGGGUUUUGCUGGCCUAUGGUCGGCUCCUCUAAAAUAAAUCAGCUUACCGGUGUUUGGUGGGUAUCAUGGGUGUGAUAACUAUCUACGCUUGUGGUUUUUCCACCAGGUAACCUUCGACAGCGGAGGUUCACUGGAGCUCAUAGAUGUCUCUCCUCAGCGAGGACAGCCCUUUGAAUGUUUGAUCUCAAAUCAGGUAGGACUACCCGCUGAACUUAAGCAUAUCAAUAGGCGGAGGA
Molecule: unclassified non-coding RNA, 405 nt
Filed under: soil metagenome
Description: partial contains 5.8S ribosomal RNA, internal transcribed spacer 2, and large subunit ribosomal RNA
Rfam family: 5.8S ribosomal RNA (bases 1-121)
Source: RNAcentral